Molecule: long non-coding RNA, 4222 nt
Organism: Lycium barbarum (goji berry)
Lineage: Eukaryota; Viridiplantae; Streptophyta; Magnoliopsida; Solanales; Solanaceae
Exons: 2
Source: RefSeq, a predicted model, not a curated record
CCCUUAUCUCUCGUCUAUCCUCUUUCCCCUAUCCCACAUAAAACCCUAGUAGCUGUUUUUUUUUUUUUUUCUCUCUCCCCUCUCUCUUCCUAAAAUGGCAUAGUUUAGAGUGCACAGAGCCAAAAUAAGCUUUUGCGGGUUCAUUUGCGUGAAACCCUCAAAGUUUCAACCUGAAAUCCUUUGUUUUGUUCUAAAUACGGUACUAAUCUUCAAUACUUUUACUUUUCUUUUAUUUCCUCGAAUCAAGCAUGCGAUUUUCUGGAUUUUUGGUGUUGUACGAACUGCAUUUUCAUUGGCUAAUGAGGAAAUGCCUUGGAUCGACCCAGAUCAGUCAGAUCCGGCCAUUUUGGGAUUUGGGAGCACACAGAUUUCAAAUUCGUUCUUGUCCGCGGCUGCACCUAAAAGGUAAUAUUUUAAUCUUGCUACUUAUUUUUGUUGUUUUCAAUAGCUUUGUUAUAUGAUAAUAUUUUGUUUGCUGUUAGUUUGUUUUGGGUUUGAUUAGUGGUGAUUUGCUGCCCUAGUAAUGCUAAAAAAUUCACCAGGAGCUUGAGAUAGAGAUCACAUUCUUGUCCUCAUUAAUGAUUUACUUAGCGUUAGUAGUGCUAGUUAGUAUGAACUAAAUGUGUGUCCCUACAUAAUUUUUAUUGGCGUUGCUUCAUUGGCAAAGAUGUAGAGACUGAGGUAUGCUUUAUUAGAUGCUAAGGUUCUUGCUUGGCUGCUCAUCCUUUAAACAUGAUGAAAUAUGGUUAUAUGAUUACUAAUAAUAACUUUGGUAACCUUGUAGAUUAGUAUUAAUCCUGUUUAAAUGUAUGAAACUGCUAAAGAACUGUGAUGACCCAUUUUGAGUAGUUUAAGGUGGUUGUUAGUUUGUUGAUGGGAUUGUGCUAUCCUAGUGUCUUCAAUCUGUUUUCUUUUCUUGAGUCCCUACACACUUGUUUAUGUCAUAUUUAGUGGUGUAAGUCAUGAUUGGGAUAAGUAAAGAAUCAUAGUUGGAAUAAAACGGGACUUAAUGAUACAAGACUUAAUGAAUUUAAGCAUACUUACAUGAGUCUUAAGAUGCGGUCAAGGUACUAGAAUGAGAGUGAAUGAGGUCUAAUUACAUUUGAGUAGGCCUCUGUCUACCUAAGUCUGUUUAAAUAUGGUUGAAUUGUCCUAAAAUAACUUUGAAUAGUUGUCUAUUAUACACUAAAGGUAGAUAUAAAUCAAUCAAUACCCCUGAACCUAAUAUAGAAAUUCUAAAAUGAAGAUUGAGACCAAGGUCUAUUUGUUUGGUACAACGUGCUCCCAAAUGGUUCAUUAGAGGCUAGUAUUGGCUCAUGAAGUUGUAAAAUCAUUAAAGAUGAAUUAGGACACCUAGAUACCACUAGGGUAAUUAUGUGACAUAGUUGUUAAUUUGAACAGAACCUAGUCUUGGUGUUUAUGUCAUCAGACCCUCCCCCUUCUAUAUAUGAUCCAUGCUUGAGUCUUCUAAGAGGUCUAGUGACAUUGAAAUGGUGAUUGAAUCCUGAUAUGCUCUCUGAUAGUUAAGAUGAUUAAUUAACCAGUGAAAUGGAACUACUUGAGUCUCAGGAUUGAUGUUUAUUUUAAGCUUAAGUUUAUAAUGUUAAGAAAUCAAGUUCACCAAAGAAGUAAUGUCAAAAAAGUGUUCAAGACAGCUUUUAUAAUUAAAAUCGUAGGUGGAGUUAAUUGAAACUGUUAAAUUAUGUCGUCAACUAAGUGCUUAGCUGGGAUGUGAUUUAAAGGCAGGGUUAAACUAAUCCUAAUUACAAAGUCUUAGUAGUUGUCACUAGGUAUGAGGAUGAGGUAAGGAUUUGAAAGUGCCUUAGGAGAGUAAGAGAUGAGCUUAGGUAUGAACUAGAAGCAAUGACCAGUGCAACCUUUGCUCCCAUUUUACUGAAAGCAAGAUUCAGGAAAAGGUUGGGGAGGUGAGGACCUCACCCUGUCCUGCUUCUCUUUUAGGAACUCGUGGUUCCUUUUUUCUCUUGAACUUCAUUCCCGUGGCUGUGGGAAUACAGAGGCUUUAUGUUUGGCAUGGAGAAGUUUAACCAUGCCUGGGAGGAUCUUUUGAGAUUUUAUGCUAUCAAAACUAAGUUAGAUUAAAGUAUAGGGGUCCAUCACAUUCUUUGUCAUGAUCAAAGGGAUUUAAAACUGCAUCAUUGACCAAAAUUCUAUGGGAAAUGACUUUAUCAGGACCUAGAUUUGUGCCUUAGAGUUCAAAUUUUCUUGCUUUGUGUUGUUUAAGAGUGAACAUGUUCCAUGAGAUCCUGUAUGACAUAUCCAUGCUUGAACUGUUUGAAUCUUUGGCCUGAAUUUUGGUGGGUUACUCCCAUGAAUGCAAUAUUACCACUUAACUGUCCCUAGUUGUUUGUAUCCUUGAGAACCUUAUUUGUACGAUUAGUCAUUAUUGCUUGGCUAUUCAGUUGGUGUAUACCUUUGUGAUUCAGUUGGAUGAGCAUUUGGGAUAUGUUUGCGUUGUUGAAGUGCUUAGAGCAGUCUGUGAUGGUUCGUUUUUAUAAAAGCUAAAAAUGACCCUUUUAAUUCAUCUCAUGUCCAAGUGUGAGCUUAACUAGGCCCUGAUAACAAUGAAUGGUCCUUAUUUAUACCUAAACAGUCUUGUCUGCUUGUGAGUAUUUAUAUUUGUUUUUGAGGAAACACCUAGUUGUGAAUAGCUGAAGUGAUAGGACCUAAUAUGGUUUCAGAGGACUUUAGGUGAGCUGAAGGUCACAUGGCUUAGAAAGGUCUUUUUAAAAGAUGUUUUGAGGAGAGGGAUAAGUGAGAAUCAAGGAAAUGCUUGGGUUCAUAACACCCCCUCACAAUAUAGAGAACACCAUGGCACUUUUAAAACUUUUGGGAUACAUGCUUACCAUAUGAAAACCUUGGGACCAUAUAAGUACUGUCAUUAGAUCUAAAGGGACCUAGAUUGUAAACAAACUAUCACUAAAGAAUAAUUGGUUAUGUUUAAAAUAGAGAAUCUGGGUGCAUGUGUGCUUAGCUUGGACACAGGUAGGAAAGAACUCACAAGAAGUAUAGAACUUAGAGCCAAAAAUCUUAAAAGGCAGAUUGUCACCACUUGACAACUUGACUGCCAAUGUUAAAAAGCAAUCCUGCAUCCUCCUCACACUCUUGGACCUGUUUGCAAUUUGUUUAUACCUGUGCCUUGGCUGUUGAAACUAUAGUUGCUCAUUUGUGUGCUACACUUUUUGUAUAGAUAUACUUGAACCAAAGAAAUCUGGACCUAUCUGUUUGGGCCCUGCCCAUGUCAUGAUCACUCUAAGUAAAAAUUAUCAUUUCUGCAUGGCCUCCUGUCCUGCAUAUGUUCACUUGAGUUAUGCCUAGGUGCAUGUUUGCCUGGUUGUGUAUGAAUCCUACAUGUGUCCCUUUUUAUUAUUGUUACCAUAAUGAAUAUUUCCCUGUGCCAUCCCAUAAGCAUUAGACCUGCAGUUUUUUGUUACCAAGGCCAUAUCUGUGUGCUCUUAUUUUGCUUCUAGUUAUACUUCCUCCAUAUGUUAUCGCUUGUUUCUGUCUAUCGCAUGCUUGUUUGUUUGUCUACUCCUGAUUAUGUUAUGACUGCAUACACUAAAACUGUUUUUGCCUAUACCAAACUCAUGUAUGAAUAUGGAAUUCUAUUUUACUUAUGGCUAUAUUGGCUGGGAAACUAAGGUAGCUUUUGGGGUUUGGUGUUAAACCAUCCCUUGGUCCCCUGCCAUGCCGGAGGCUCAUGAAACCUCUUGGAUCUUGUGCGGCAUCAGGAUUAAGGAUGGCGACGACUUUCCUCUCCUACUACCUAAAUCCCUAACUAUUAAAGCCCAGUAGUACAGAUGCAACUAUAUUCAUUGCGUGACCCUUUAAUGAAUUUGAUAUAUGUAUGCUUGUAUCUAUGUAUGUGAUAAGUUUAGAAAAUUUUAAACUAAUGGAGUCCCUUUUCUUUUCCUCUCCUUCACUGCAUGGCCACUUAGGCAGAGUCCAGCCACCCUAUUGGGCUUUUUAGCCCAAUAGAAAAAUUCUUUCAAAGAUUGUGGAGUUCAAGAAAAUAAAAUGGAAGCUAAUAUUGUUAAGGAUGCAGAGACGGCCCAGCCAUGGGUGAAAAUGGCCAACUAGGGGCUUGGUAUGCCCCUAGUCUCCCCUUCUCCUUACUUAUGCAUUUUUAUUAUAUGCAGUUGAUUGUAUCUUGUAUUUGUAAAGAUUGUAAAACUCAUGUAUAUUAUUGGAAUCAUUAUGGUCA